GACAGAGGGUGCAAACGUUGCUCGGAAUCACUGGGCGUAAAGGGCGUGUAGGCGGGAGAGAAAGCCGGGCGUGAAAUCCCUAGGCUCAACCUAGGAACUGCACUCGAAACUUCUUUUCUUGAGUGCCGGAGAGGAAAGCGGAAUACCUGGUGUAGAGGUGAAAUUCGUAGAUAUCAGGUGGAACACCAGUGGCGAAGGCGGCUUUCUGGACGGUAACUGACGCUGAGACGCGAAAGCGUGGUGAGCAAACAGG
This 253-nucleotide ribosomal RNA is filed under the name uncultured bacterium. Its description in RNAcentral is "partial 16S ribosomal RNA". It matches the Rfam family "Bacterial small subunit ribosomal RNA", at positions 524 to 776 of the family's 1533-position model. The record is from RNAcentral.